UACGUAGGGUGCAAGCGUUGUCCGGAAUUAUUGGGCGUAAAGAGCUUGUAGGCGGUUUGUCGCGUCUGCUGUGAAAUUUCGGGGCUCAACCCCGAACUUGCAAUGGGUACGGGCAGACUAGAGUGUGGUAGGGGAGACUGGAAUUCCUGGUGUAGCGGUGAAAUGCGUAGAUAUCGGGAGGAACACCAGUGGCGAAGGCGACUACCUGGCCUGUUCUUGACGCUGAGGCGCGAAAGCUAGGGGAGCAAACGGG
RNAcentral lists this ribosomal RNA (253 nucleotides) under uncultured bacterium. RNAcentral's name for it is "partial 16S ribosomal RNA". It matches the Rfam family "Bacterial small subunit ribosomal RNA", at positions 524 to 776 of the family's 1533-position model. The record is from RNAcentral.